Molecule: long non-coding RNA, 12327 nt
Filed under: Panax ginseng (ginseng)
Lineage: Eukaryota; Viridiplantae; Streptophyta; Magnoliopsida; Apiales; Araliaceae
Description: long non-coding RNA (PGIN_LNC012869)
Source: RNAcentral
GUUCCACUAAUUUGGAACUUAAUUUGAAAGUCUUAUUUUAACCUGGAUGUUUUCGGGACGCCACGCGGACUGUAAAAAUGUGUCAGGAGAGGGAGAUUCUCAUUGUGUAACUGGAAAAACUAGCUUGGAAUGGAAGCAUUUGUACAAAAUAGUUCAGUUUGGCCAAAACACUACUCCAUUUAUCAUGCAGACGUAUGAGCUGUUAAUAUAGUGUCUGAUACAACGGACCUGCACACAGUUUGGCAAAUGGUAAUGCAGGGUAUGUUUCAGUUGUGAAUGUUAGCGAAACUGAAAGGAUAAUUUAAUUUGUCAAGCCUAAUUUAACGUAUAUUAACUUUAUCUCAAACUGCAUAAUUUAAUUUGUCAAGCUUAGUACUUGGUACUAUGUCCUUAAGACAAUUAUGCCCCCGUACGAUGUUCAAAGUUGAUAGUAUUUGUCUCCCAUGAUACAAUGACAAUGUAUACUAUAGUAGCACUCCAAAUAGUAUACUCAACGAACCAAAUAAAAGCUCAGAACUCUCUCAAAAUAACUAUGAAAACUGAUGAACAAAUAAACGACAAUGUAUGCUUGAAUACUUGUAAAUGAACGACUUAAAUGGGCUGCCCCCCUAUCUAUUUAUAGGAGAGGUGACCCUUUGGAUGGGGUAUUAACACUUGAAAAGACAUGAGAUGCUUCUGAAAAGGCAUGAUGUGGCAUCCUUUGGUCAAAACGACGUAGUUUUGAUCCUUUGUAGAAUGGGCGCGUCUAUUCGGGCCACAAAACGACGUAGUUUUAGUUUGAUCAUAACAAAAGCGACGUAGUUUAAGGCUUAACAGAAAAGGUGAAUUCGUUCAGGCAAAAACGACGUAGUUUUGCAGCGUCUUUAAAUAAUUUUUGUCCAAAAAUUUAUAUACAAGGAGCCAAACCCACAAGCUCGAGCUAGACCAAUUAGUGAUGCAUGCGUGUGGGUUUGAACAACGCCUUAGCUAAGUUCUCUUCCACACAAGGGGGCCCAAAUUCAAGAGCAAUUUUCUAAUAUAUAAACUCAAUAAUUCUUUAGUUCUUAACCGAUGUAGGACUUGACUUCCCACAUGUAUUUAUUAUCAUUUAUCAUUUUCAAGAGUGAUCUUUAGGAGUUAAUUUCUCAUUCAUUACUCUAUGAAUUUGAGUUUUCAAAUACUUAAUUUAAUCUACUUAUAGAAUAGAACACAUUGAUAUGUGGAAUCAAUUAAUUAAUUAAUGAAACCCUCUUCAAUUUUAGGUUCAAAUUCUAAGAGUGAAGUUAGUGCAUAUUUGAAACAAAUCACACGAUUCAAUGACCUUGCAGAAUGAAGUGACUAACAAUCUCCCCCUCCGAACCCAUUAAAGGAUAUGUUCACCAUGACUCCGUCACUUGGAGUCGAUUCCUGUGUCAAAUCCAACUCUUGAAGAAACCACGACAUUUCGUUGUCAACUCAGUAGUAGACAAAGCAAUACACUUCUGCAACUUGGACUGCCAUAACACGGCUCCCCCUGCAAAAGUAAACAAAUACCCCGAAGUAGAUUCCUUCUGUUCGAAACCUGCUAUGUCUUCUUCUGUAUAACCUUCCAAGACUGAAUUUGCACGUCAAACCACAACUCCUCACUUGGAGUUAAUCCCAACGAAGCCUUGACUCAACUCAAGCUUCUUAGAAUUUUCAACUUUCUUCACGUCCAACUUUAUUUCAUCGGCAUGGCUCUUCUUGAUAGGAGGAUCUAACUCAAACUUGAUAGAUUUUUUCUUGUCAAAUUUUUUCACAACCGCUUUGUAUCUUGGCUGCGAGCUAUCACUUUCCUUCUUCACUUUUGGUACCCAUUUCAAGUGAAGAGCUUUUUUCUCGUGGUUCUCAUGCAAGGUUUUUCUUCCAUCUUGCAUGGCUUUGUACCACAUCCUUUUUCGCCUAACUCCCCCAUCUUUAACACCUUCCACACGUGCCUUUAUUGUGCAAAAAGCGCCUACCUUCUUUCCUCUAGUCACCACUAGAGACCCUUUAGUGAGCUUCCACUGACCUUCACCAAAGGAAAUGCUAUAACCAUUCUCAUCAAGCAUACCAAUAGACAUCAAAUUAAGGCGCAUAUCCGGAACAUGUCUGACUUCUCUAAGCAUCAACAUGCCACCAUUGUUAGUCUUCAGAUAAAUACUCCAAUGCCGAUAACCUUGGAUGCACUACCAUUUCCCAUUCGUACAUAGUCAAAAUCACCACUAAUGUAGGAUGUGAAGAUCUCACCACGUGAAUGUGAGACCCCGAAUUUUAUGAAAUAAAAGUAUUCAAUUUUUUUUUAUUUUGGUGAAUAGUUAAAUUGAUAAAAGUUUAAAGUUAAGGGUGACAUUUAAAAUUUUUUCAAAGUAAGCAAGUUGUUAUAAAAUAAUCGGUGGUAAAAUACGCGUGAUUGCAUAGUAACACACGGUAUUGAUUUUUAAUGCUUACGUGAGAAGUCACUCAGUUUGAUUCAAUUAUUGUCGAUAUUUUAUAUAUUAUUAAAUUAAUAAUUGAGAUACCAAAGUUAUUAAUAUAAUUAUUUGCAAUAUUAACGAUGUCUAGAAGUUCUGCCAAGGAGAGGUUUGGUCACCUAAUUGCGCGCCAAUAGGGAGAAAUUCUUAUUGGAAAGUCCUCUCUUUCUUAGGAACGACCUGGUCGAUUAAUAGUGUGAAUUAUAAUAAUGAUGAUGAAGUUUGUUUUAUUAGUAUUAUUAAUGUAAUAAAACAGAAAAGCUUUUUAUAUAAAACAGAAUACUUUUAUAAAGUUAUUCGUUUUAUUAGACUAUAAAUAGAAUAUAUUAUAUUCUAUUAUGCAUAGUAUUUUGCAUAGUAAAAUCUUUUUAUAUAAAACAAAAUACUUUUAUAAAGUUAUUUAUUUUAUUAGACAAUAAUUAGAAUAUAUUAUAUUUUAUUUUGCAUAGUGCCUGCAUAGUAAAAUCUUUUUAUAUAAAACAGAAUACUUUUAUAAAGUUAUUUAUUUUAUUAGAUUAUAAAUAGAAUAUAUUAUAUUUUAUUUAAAAGAUUUUAUUUUAUUAGAAUAUUUUAUAGUAAACCAAUUUGGACCGUCCGUUUAAAAGUAAAUCAAUCUGGACCGUUCAGGAAUCAGUUACUAUUCAGUCCAUUCUCCUAUAAAUAGAAGCUCAUCCCUUCAUUAUUUCUUACGAAUUCACUGAAACUCUAGAUAGAGAAACUAUAGAGAGAAAGAAGAAAAGUAUUUUGCUACUUCACUACUCCUAUAUUCAGUUUGUUUUAAGGUAAGAGAUAUUAUUUGUUGUACUUGUAAGGGGUAUUAUUUCUUUCGUAUUCAUAAAGAGAACUUCUGUUGUGACGCCCCUAAAAUAGGUAUACAUCACCCAUUUUGAGUUGUCAAUAAUAUGGUACAGAAACAACUACAACUUUAUUAAUAAAACAUAUAAACUGUGAGUUGAAAUAUAAAUACUGCCAUUUAGACAAUAUUCACACCCAAAUAAGUCUUCAUUACAAUUAUUGGUAUAUUAUUUUAUAAAAAUGGUGAGGACUACUAAGACAACUUUCUAAAUCCAUCAUUCCACACCCGACUAGAACUCGCUACAUUCUCGCCUCAUGAGAAGAAAAAUGGAACAAAAAGGAAAAGGAUGAGCUCAACUAGCCCAGUAAAGAAUAUUAUGACUAAGAUAAUAUAGAACAAAUUAUCGUUAGUCUUCAACAGGGAAAAAUCUGAUAAAAUACAAUAGACAACAAGUUUCAGAUCAUUAUUCGCAGCGGAAAUAAUAAUUCAUAGAAGAGUUAUGUAGAGAAUGAUAUCUACUAUUAUCUAUGAAUUUAAAAGUCCAUCAUCAAUAUUUUAUCCCUAUAACAUCAACCAAUAUACAUCUUGAAUCAAAUAUUCAUCUUUGCAUUAUAGGCCAAAUAUAUUCAUCAGUUGGUCAUGUUCAUCUCAACACCUGUUCAUCUUUGCACUACGGGCCAAAGAUAUUCAUAAGAAAAUCAACCAUCUUGCACUACAGGCCAAAGAUAUUCAGUAAUAUCAUCAUUUAGGACUGAGGAUGAUGAAAAAUAUUUUAAAGAAAACGAAUCCAGUGAAAUAAAAAAACAAAUACUAAGGAUUCGUACUUUAAACAAUCCGAGUUCAAAAAAAUUUCAUAAAUACUCAUGGUGAAGUAAAAUUCAAGAAUGAUCAAAACAUGGAUACAAUCAAAGCUAGUAUCCAUAAUAGAUAUUUUGGACAAAAUACGAAAAUUUAAUUUUUCUAUGAAUAGUGCCGUAUUCGUGAAUAGUGUCGUAUACGUAAAUAGUAUCGUAUACGUGAAUAAUAACCCCGACACUAAAAGACAAGAAUUUCACAAGAAAAAUCUUACCAAUAUUUUGGCAUAAUGAUAUUAAAAGAAAUAAUAUCAUUUAUAAAAAAAAUAACAUCCCUUAUCUCGAAAAGACGGUACUUUUGACUGGAAUACUGGAUAUAGUGCUGAAGGGAACUUGCACCGUAUAGCAACACUCAAAGUAUCAAAAUACUCACAAGAAUACGCUCGAUAAUAUAGAGAGAGAAAACUUCAGUUUCUGGUGUGAUUUUCAAUUCUAACUUAAGCACCCUAUUUAUAGAAAAAUGCUUAGAACACCAAAGCAGAAAAUUUAAUAAAAUAUUAAUAUAUAUAAUAAAUUGUCUACGCCCACCUAGAAUCAUCCAAUUUCAGCAUGUUUAAUAACAAGUGAGCCCACCAAACAUAUCAAAAAUGUUUUUCUUUUAAAACAAAUUUAAAACUUUAAAGAAAUAAUUAUUUCAGAACUUCAGAACUUCAAUAAUUCAUAAUAAAUAGCCCUUUUAUCAGAAAAAUUCAAACCUUAUGUUCUUUUCAUAGGAAAUUCCAUUCUCUACAACUUUGCAGAAGAAAGUUUUUCCAAAUUCCAAAUAAAAAUUGACCGAAAUUCACAAACGGGCGAUUUUAUAGGCUAUAAUUAAAUUUCAGUCAAGAAAUGGGGUCCACGAACAUGUUUAACAUGUUUUAAACAAUUUUAGUAACAAAAAUACUUCUCCUCCUCAUAUACUCAUAUAUCCCACAUUCAUUGUAAAAAUAUCAUCAUUAUUAUAUUAUUAAAAUAUAAUAAUAUAUUUAAAUGAAUUAUUUAUCAAAAAAGAUAAAAUAUCAACUUUUCAACAAUUGUCACUUUAAAAUUUUCUCCAUCUAUAUCCACAUAAAAUGAAUAUUUUCCUUAUCAUAUAAAUCAAUAAUUAAUUAUUCACAAAUAAUAUUAUAGAAUCACAAUACUGGCAACCAGGCCGUUCCCAGGAAAGAGGGGGCUUUCCAAUAAGGAUUUCUCCUUACUGGCGCGCAAUUAGGUGACCAAACCUCUCCUUAGACAGAACUUUCUAGACAUUGCCAAUAAUGUUAUCUAAUAAUAUUAUUCAAAUAAUAUGAAUUAUUGAUCUGAUAAUGAAAAUACUGUGUAGUGACAAUUAUUGAAACAACAAUAAUAUAAAAUAUCAACGUAGCAAUUAUUGAAUCAAUAAAAUAAAAUAUUGAACAGUAAUUACUGUAACAAUUAUUGAGUAGUGCCUUCUUACGUAAGAAUCAAUAAUUGGUGCAAUACCGUGUGCUACUGUGUUUUAACCACCGGGUAUUCCAACAGUAUUAACGGUAACAACUACGCCGUUAUUUAUAAACAACUUAUACUUGUCGUUUUCUUCAUCCAAUCGUUUUCCGUUAUGGGGCCCACACAAGGUUGCGCCGUCCUACGAAUAUUCCCCGACAGUAAGAAUAUUCCACGACCAAACGAAUAUUCCCCGACAACAAUGAAUAUUUUAUAACCACUUGCUUUAUUAUUGUGUUGGAAUUUCUGUUAUUCCAUUCUUUAUUAUUCUGUUGGAAUAACCUAUAUACGCGGACUACUCUAUACAUGGUGAAAUUCUUCUAUUAUUCUAUUCCUUAUUAUUAUGUUGGAAUAACCUGUCUAUGCGAAGUACUGCAUACAUGGUGAAAUUCUUCUAUUAUUCUAUUCUUUAUUAUUUUUUCGGAAUAUCCUGUCUGUGCGUUUACGCAUGACCUGGUUCCAUUAUUUAUUAUUCUGUUGGAAUAUCCUGUCGGUGCGAAUUACGUUUGACAUGGUUCCGUUCUUUAUUAUUCUGUUGAGAAUAACCUGUCUGUGCGAUCUAUCGCAUGCAUGGUGAAUUCUUCAGUUAUUCCAUUCUUUAUUAUUCUGUUGGAAUAACCUGUCUAUGUGGAUUACCACAUGUAUGGUGAAUGAUCAUUUGUAUUCAUUCCUUAUUAAAUUGUGAAAAUGAUCUGUUUACGUGGAUUAUGAUGAAAGUCAUAAUAAAAGAUUUGGACUGAUGAAAAUCAUUGGUAUAUGUAGUAUUAGUAAGUGUUAUGAUAAGUUAUGUUGGUUAUUAUGUGAAAAUAUGAAAGUUUCUUAGAAAUCACAAAGGGUUAAAAAUCAGAUUUUGGUGAAAAUGGAAUAUGAAAUUCAAUUGACCAUAUCUCCUAUUAUAUUUCAAAUUUUUGAGUGUGGUCAAGUUGUAGAGUUAGAUCUAUGAGUUUUCUAACUUAUCCAAGUGGAACCACUGGAAAAGGUGUUGUAUAUUUUCGUGUGGACUGAUUUUAGCAAAGGAGUCAAAAACUACAAAAUACCAAAAAGGUUACUGCCCAGAAGUUUAAAAGGGCUGUUUCAGCCACUUAAUUUGUGAGAAAAAUUCCUGCCUUUUGGGACAUGAAAAUAUAUGGUAUAAAGUACCUCCUGUCCAAAAAUGAGCUCAUUCCGACUUAAAAUGAGCAAGUUAUGACCAUUUUAAUAUUUAGGUUUUUCCGACGAAAAAUGCUAUAAUUGGAGUUCUAUAACUCUGAUGACCAUGAAAUUUAAACUGGAAGAUUACGUUAACAUGUGUAAGAUCCUGCCAAGAUUUGGGAAUUUCUGGAGUUAAACUUGAGGUAGCUAAUUUCUUAGGGAAUUAAUUAGAAAUUGAUUUAUGAAAAUUAGUAAAUGAAUUUUAAAAAUUCUGAGAAAAAUAUAUGUUCAAUACGGGACUAUAUUCUGCUAAAUCUCAAAAAAGAAAUAUUUUUGGGACAUUUGGUAUUUUUCAUGAAAAUGCACUAGUUAUGAGUAUAUGAGUUAAAUAUGUUAUGUGAAGUUGAAAAUUGGUAAAUAUGAUUUUAUGGCUUGGGAAUCCUAUAUAGGGUAUAUGCAGAUUUUUGAUAAGGGAUUUGAUCAUUGGUGAUGAAAUCUUAUGAGUAUGACAUUUUUGAAUGAUUAAAUGCAGUAUUUGGUAAAGUGUAAACAAUUAAAAUAAAUUAUUUAAAAGUUUAAGAAAUAAUUAAAAUAUUGUUAUAAUAUUAAUGAUAUUAGAUUAUAAGAUUAUUAAGUAAUUGAUAACAUUGGGAUAUUCUUGAACCCUGGAUAAUUUAUAUUAUAAAUGUUUAAUAUUUAUCCUUUAUCUCAUUUGAUUGAUUCUUUAUAUCGUUGUCAUGAUCCUCAUGCUUAUAUUGUGUUGAAAGUCAUCUGUGACUUACGUGCAUAGAUGGACUUGGUAUGAUUAUGACCAAGGAUUAUUCGGUAUAAUCAUGACCGUAAUGUUACAAAUAAUGUGGUAAAAGUCAUCUUUGGCCCGUAGUGCAUAGAUGGACUUGGUAUGAUUAUGACUAGGGAUUAUUCGGUAUAAUCAUGACCGUAAUUUAAAACACGAAUAUCCUUGGCCCGUAGUGCAUGGAUAAUUCAUGGUCGUGAUACUAUUAAGCUGAGUCUCAGUAUUAUUGGUUAUAUAGUUGUAUAUCUUUGGCCUGUAGUGCAAAGAUUAACUGUUGGUUAUUGGUUAUAUAGUUGUAUAUCUUUGGCCGUAGUGCAAAGAUGAAUUGAUUAGUAUGAUUAUGAGCAGGAAUUGUGAUUUGGUAUAACCAUGAUUUUUGAUGUUUCAGGUGAAGAUAGGUGAUAAAAAUUAUCUUCGUCCUGGGUGCGAAAAGGAAUUCAGAAUCACAAUUAUGAUUAUGAGUUAUUCAUAUGAUUGUGGAUAGGAAUUAUUGAUUGAUGUUACAGGGAUAAAACAUUAUUGGUGGACUUUUAACAUGGAGAAGAUAAUAGACCUGAUGGUCUAUUUGACUCUUUUAAUAGAUUGCUCGUUCCGCUGCAACUGUAGUUGAAAAGUUUUAUCAUCUACCAUAUGUUCUAAAUCUUUGAUUUAUUAUUGACGAAAGCUAUUGAUAAUUUAAUUAUCUUUAGUUAUGAUAUUCUUUACUGGGCUAGUUGUGCUCACCCUUUUGCUUCACAAUCCCUUUCAGGUAAUAAGAGUGUUGCCGAGUAGAGCUGGGAUAACAGGGGAAUAGAACGGUGGUCUAUAGCUGUUGAGGUUCUCCCUAAAUAGUAUGGAAAUAAUUUUAUUGAGAACUUUAGAUAAGUGUGUCGUAUUGUAUACGUCAUUUGAUAUUUAAUUUUGGUGAACCGAAUAGGGUGAGGUGAACCCAACUUUGGAAGGGUGUUUUGCCACUAUCAUACAAGAUGUCUAAUGACAUACAACCUCGUGUUAUCAUAAGACAGGGUUGUGCACAUCCACUUGCUGAGUAUAUCUACGAGCACUACCUAUAUGAUCUUGGAGUUUAUUUGAAAUAUAAUGUUCAAUUGCAGACAGUGGAUAUAGUUAUAUGUCAAGAGAAGACUCACCAUUGGAAGGAACAUGAUAGUAAUCUUCUCGUUUUUCUUUGGGGUCUAUUGGGUCAACCAAGGAUAAUUCUCUGGACAUAUGAUAUCUAUCAUAACUUAGAUUCAUGGCCUCCUAUGUACGAAGGUUUCCUUGAGUACUUCCCAAAGAUUUUAAUUUCUAAAACAGUUUUUGACUAUACUUUUAUGUAAAGUAUCUUUGUAAGGUGUUGUAGUCAAGGCACCAUGAGAGUUACAUAGAUUUUGUAUUGAAACUCACAGCUUAUCUGUUGUCGUACUCCGCACGACAGUUCAACAGUUGUAUAAAUGAAGUUUGUAUUUAAUUUUUAUAGAGUGAUAUCUGGCGACUCAGAAUGGGUGAUGUAUACCUAUUUUGGGGGCGUCACAGUGAAGUAGCAUGGAACGAAGCACCCGAAUCAAUAACCCAUUCAUUAACUUGACACUUAGGUUUACCAUCACGAACAAGGGCUACAUCAACGUCGGAUAGAUACACAAUUGUGUCCUUAUCCUCAUCUUUUUCCUUAGACUGUUCCUUCUUUAAAAAUUUGCACUCUCGCCUUAUAUGACCCGGUCUCUGGCAGUGAAAACAAAUUAUCUCUUUUCCUCUCAACCUUCUCCUGGAUUUUUCAUCUUCAGGAGAGCUCUUCUCUCUGUUUCUGCUGCUACUCUGUAUGACAAAAACUUGUGUUUGUAUCUCAGAAUUCACACCUUGCUCCUUUCGUCUUGUCUCUUCAUUAUGAAGACUGUCCUUGACCAUCUGCAUAAUUAUUUUCCUUCUGGAGCUGAAUUGCUUAGAGACACCACCAAAGUCUCCCAACUGUUUGGCAACGAACUGAGAAGCAAAAGAGCCUGGAUCUCAUCAUCAAGAUUCAACUUUAUGGUGGACAGCUGGUUCACCAAACCUUGGAACUCACUCAUAUGCUCCGACACACUGAUCCUGUCCUUGUACUUUAGAUUCACAAUUUUUUGAAUGACAAAAGUUUUAUUUUGUGCAUUCUUCUUCUCGUACAUAGACUCUAGUGUUGUCCAUAAAUUGUGAGCAUCCGUCUCCUGCGAAACAUGGUGGAAUACACUUUGAUCAAUCCACUGCCGGAUGUGACCAAUAGUCUUCCUAUUCAUUUUAUUCCAAUCAGCCUCAGACUUAUCCGCGGGCUUCUUUCCCUUGAGCUCCAACGGAUCAUAUAAAUCCUUGCAAUAAAGGAUAUCCUCCAUUCUGGGCUUCCAGAUCGAAAAAUUUGAAGAGGUCAAUUUAAUCAUGGCUCCGACUGAUUCCUCCAUAAAAUUUAUCAAAAACAACCGAGCAAAUAACCUUAGCUUUGAUACCAGUUGUUGGGAAAAAUCUCCUCCCAAAUACUGUUGUCUUUGAUAAAUUAGACGAAUAAAAAUUAUCAGCACAUGCCAAACAGAUUAAAUUUGCAGUUCCACCAAAAUAAUAACCACUGCAGGAAAUAAUGAGUAGAAAAUAUCCAACUACGAGACACCAAGAUUUUACGUGGAAAAUCCUCUUAAUUAAGAGGUAAAAACCAUGGGACAAACUCCGAAGAAUUCACUAUAAUAAACUGAGAGAAUACAAAGAUAUCUUAAUUUGAGUACAAACUCAAAUUACUUCACCACAAUAACUAUGUGAUGGAACCCAAAUAAAACACCCUUUUAUUUGAACUAUCUUUCACUCUCUAUUUUUCUAAAGCUUUACAAAAGCUUCUUUCUCUCACUCUCUAUUUCUUCCAACUCUUGGAUUGCUCUCGGAUGAAACUUGAGAGAGUUUUUGGUGUAUUUGAUCCCUCAAGCUUGGCUGCCCUUUUAUAGCAAAAUGGAGGGGAGAGGAAGUCAAUAAGGGAGGCCAAACUUUCAAAGAAGGAGGGCUAAGUUGUGUAUAAGGAUGAAAACAUGAAACAUGUUAAUGGGUGAGGACACAUAUGUUGACUAACAAUUACUAUGGUAAGGCAUUCUCCCAAGGGAAAGGGAACAUUGAUUCCUUCAUGCUGUUGGAAUAGGGGUAUAAACGAUUCGACUCGUUUAUAAAAGAGUCAAGCUCGAGUUGAGCCAAACUUUAGUUGAGCUAAAUCAAAUUUAAAUAUUGUGGAAUUAAUUACUUUUUGUGUAUAUAAAAUGUAAAAUUAAUUAAUUUAAUUAACUAAAUACAUAGAUCUCUUCUGCAUUAUUCUUUGUAUCAUUGUUAGUUUUCUAUUCCAAACAUUUUCUAAACGAGUCGAGACAUUUAUUAUUCUUUGUAUCGUUGUUAGUUUUCUUGUUGAGUUGAAACGUUGUAUUUUUAUAAAUUUUGUUCUAAACGAGCUCGAGCCGAGAUUAGAAUCAUUUUCUAAACGAACUCAUUUAAAUGAACAGAAUUCCUUGUUUGAACUUGACUCAAUAAAUGAACUCGACUCGAGUCAAAAGUAAAACAAGCCUAGUUGAUUUGUGAACAACCCAAUUCAUUAGUUGAUUUGUGACCAACUUGUAGGAUAAAGUAGCGGUGAAAAUAAUACCUCUAAUAUAACCUUACGCCUUAAAUAUAAUAAGAGUAACACUCUGUUUCUGAGUUUUAAAAUGGACAGAAAAGAAAAAAAAUGGACAGAAAAGUUAAGUUUUCUUUUCAAUUCUUAUGUUUCCGAGUUUUUUAAUAAACGGAAAAAAAAGGAUAGAAAACUUGGCCAUUUUUCCUGUUAAAGUUUUCCGUCCAAAAUUGGUCUGAUUUGGACGGAAAACAAAUUGAAGUAAUAUUUUUAUAAUUCCCAUAUUAUCCUCAACUUUUAAUAUAAUAAAUUUUAAAUUACAACUCAUGUCCUCAAUUUUAAAUUUUCUAUUCUUUUCUAUUAAAACCUCAGAAACAACACAAAGGAAAACUUCAAGUUUUCUAUUCUUUUCUGUUCUAAUUUAAAUUUUCUAUUCUUUUUUUUUCUGUUCAAAACUCAGAAACAGAGCGUAAGAGAGUUUAAAACCUUACAUGUAAGAGUAAGAGAAUUCAAAAAAUGGACAAACAAUGAAUCUAACUGAUGGGCUUGAAAAGAGAGACGUGUCUCCAUGUCGACUAAAAUGAGGAAAGCUUUAUUCAUCCACUGUUACUUUUGAAAGUAACAAAACUGUAAAUGACUCACAAGUCACAAGAGCAGUUGGCGGGCCAAAGAACUUGAAACCCCUAAACCAUUUUAUAAAUUGUCAAUUAGCUCAGAGUAAAAAUCUGAAGGGCCACCAGACUUUUCCACAUUUCAAACAAAAAUUGAUGCAGAAAGCUAUCAGAAAAGAUUCACUACCACUGAAUGAAAGAGUUUGCAUUACUCAAAUAGAUUAUAUAAUAAACUUAAGUACGAGUUUCUCGACCAAAUUACAGUUUCAACUCAUUAAUAAAUCUAUAAUUAAGUACGAGUUUCUCGACCAAAUUACAGUUUUCUCCAAACCCCACCCACACCCACACCCACACCCAAAUUUUUGAAAUUCAUGGUCCAACUGUUUCUCGUAUAUACACCGACAUUAAGGUCGACAUUCACGUUCCCCAAAAAACUUGUCUGUUUCCAAACUUGAAUAAUAAUACCCCCUUGUCUACGGGUAUUCUUUGUCAGCGGAUAUUUUCUCUACUAAAUAAUUGACUGCUCCAAUUCAUUUGCACAUGUUGAGGCUGCUGAUAAGCGACGGAAGGAGGCAACACAGAUUCAAUCGAACUGGCCAUGGCUUGAGAUUGAUGUAAAUGUGGUUGCACAGUUGGUGGAGCAGCCAUCGUCUGAGAUGGAUGAUAAAU